AGCACGGGGGCAACCCUGGUGGCGAGCGGCGAACGGGUGAGUAACACAUCGGAACAUGCCCAGUCGUGGGGGAUAACACUUCGAAAGAAGUGCUAAUACCGCAUACGUCCUGAGGGAGAAAGCGGGGGAUCGCAAGACCUCGCGCGAUUGGAGUGGCCGAUGUCAGAUUAGCUAGUUGGUGGGGUAAAGGCCUACCAAGGCAACGAUCUGUAGCUGGUCUGAGAGGAUGAUCAGCCACACUGGGACUGAGACACGGCCCAGACUCCUACGGGAGGCAGCAGUGGGGAAUUUUGGACAAUGGGGGCAACCCUGAUCCAGCCAUUCCGCGUGAGUGAAGAAGGCCUUCGGGUUGUAAAGCUCUUUCGGCAGGAACGAAACG
RNAcentral lists this ribosomal RNA (379 nucleotides) under uncultured bacterium. Its description in RNAcentral is "bacterial SSU rRNA". It matches the Rfam family "Bacterial small subunit ribosomal RNA", at positions 71 to 452 of the family's 1533-position model. The record is from RNAcentral.